This is a non-coding RNA of Elasticomyces elasticus, 104 nucleotides long. The record is from the annotation of a GenBank genome assembly. NCBI's taxonomy places the organism in Eukaryota, Fungi, Ascomycota, Dothideomycetes, Mycosphaerellales, Teratosphaeriaceae.
GGGGAUGUGGUCCAAUGGAAAGAUACUGGGUUCCAAGUCGAUGCAGGCGAAAGCUCGUAGCGGCUUGGUAUCUAGUGAUGCCUGUUCGACUCCGGCCUUCUCCA